Molecule: long non-coding RNA, 607 nt
Organism: Amphiprion ocellaris (clown anemonefish)
Lineage: Eukaryota; Metazoa; Chordata; Actinopteri; Pomacentridae
Source: Ensembl
AAUUCACCAAAAAAUUUGUUGUUCACAUCCGGGGGACUCAGGCGUAAAAAAUCGAUCCUGGCCAAAAUCGAACCAACGCCCAGCCAAUCACGUGGCGCUCCUCCGGUCAUGUGACGCAGACGGUUCACCUCACAAGACCGGGGUCAACCACGGCUACCAGCAUGAACGACGGCGCUUCAGACCUUUGUAGCGAGGACCCGAUGCCAGGUCCAGUGGACAGACUUCAGACGUCUCUGUGUGUCCCGUCCUGUCCGGUCCUGUCUCUGGUUGCCUGGUUACAGACGCUGCUGCACCCGCACGUUUAAAAAUGUCUACACCUGAAACUCCACCACGUCUAAAGAAGCAAAAACGUUUGCAAAUGUACAGACUGGAGUAGGAAGAGUGGAACCCCUGGCAAUGGAUACAAGGCAAACUGUGUUUUCUGUUGCUCAUGGACUGGCUGAAGUAAGGCAGCAUCAGGAGACAAACAUGGAGGAAAUAUGAGAACAGAGAGAACCCAACCAGCAGGUCACAGUUUAUCAUCAUCUAAUCAUCUCCUGAAGUCCAUAUGACUAAAGAACUACAGACUCUUCACAACCUGCUCAAACUCUUGGUACAGGACCUCACC